GAUGAAGAACGUAGCGAAAUGCGAUAAGUAAUGUGAAUUGCAGAAUUCAGUGAAUCAUCGAAUCUUUGAACGCACAUUGCGCCCCUUGGUAUUCCGAGGGGCAUGCCUGUUCGAGCGUCAUUUCAACCCUCAAGCACAGCUUGGUCUUGGGCUUCGCCGCUAACCCGGCGGGUCUUAGAAUCAGUGGCGGUGCCGUCGGGCCCUGAGCGCAGUAAUCUCUCUCGCUAUAGGGUCCCGGCGGAUGCUGGCCAGUAACCCCCAAUUUUCUAUGGUUGACCUCGGAUCAGGUAGGGAUACCCGCUGAACUUAAGCAUAUCAAUAAGCGGAGGA
Molecule: unclassified non-coding RNA, 330 nt
Filed under: soil metagenome
Description: partial contains 5.8S ribosomal RNA, internal transcribed spacer 2, and large subunit ribosomal RNA
Rfam family: 5.8S ribosomal RNA (bases 1-120)
Source: RNAcentral